GAUGAAGAACGUAGCGAAAUGCGAUAAGUAAUGUGAAUUGCAGAAUUCAGUGAAUCAUCGAAUCUUUGAACGCAUCUUGCGCUCCUUGGUAUUCCGAGGAGCAUGCCUGUUUGAGUGUCAUUUAAAGUUCUCAACUGCAUACAUUAUCAAUGGAUGUGGCUUGGAUGUGGGGGUCAUCUUGCAGGCUUCUCUCUGAAGUUGUCUGCUCCCCUGAAAUGCAUUAGUGGUAUCUGAGCUACUUACAGAUGUGAUAAUUAUCUACAUCAAAGUAUGCUGCACACUGCUUCCUAACGAGUUUUGAAAUUUGAUGAAGUUGACCUCAAAUCAGGUAGGACUACCCGCUGAACUUAAGCAUACAAUAAGCGGAGGA
This 370-nucleotide unclassified non-coding RNA is filed under the name soil metagenome. RNAcentral describes it as "partial contains 5.8S ribosomal RNA, internal transcribed spacer 2, and large subunit ribosomal RNA". The stretch from base 1 to 120 matches the Rfam family "5.8S ribosomal RNA", at positions 35 to 154 of the family's 154-position model. The record is from RNAcentral.